ACACGUGGAUAACCUACCUAUAAGACUGGGAUAACUUCGGGAAACCGGAGCUAAUACCGGAUAAUAUAUUGAACCGCAUGGUUCAAUAGUGAAAGACGGUUUUGCUGUCACUUAUAGAUGGAUCCGCGCCGCAUUAGCUAGUUGGUAAGGUAACGGCUUACCAAGGCAACGAUGCGUAGCCGACCUGAGAGGGUGAUCGGCCACACUGGAACUGAGACACGGUCCAGACUCCUACGGGAGGCAGCAGUAGGGAAUCUUCCGCAAUGGGCGAAAGCCUGACGGAGCAACGCCGCGUGAGUGAUGAAGGUCUUCGGAUCGUAAAACUCUGUUAUUAGGGAAGAACAAAUGUGUAAGUAACUAUGCACGUCUUGACGGUACCUAAUCAGAAAGCCACGGCUAACUACGUGCCAGCAGCCGCGGUAAUACGUAGGUGGCAAGCGUUAUCCGGAAUUAUUGGGCGUAAAGCGCGCGUAGGCGGUUUUUUAAGUCUGAUGUGAAAGCCCACGGCUCAACCGUGGAGGGUCAUUGGAAACUGGAAAACUUGAGUGCAGAAGAGGAAAGUGGAAUUCCAUGUGUAGCGGUGAAAUGCGCAGAGAUAUGGAGGAACACCAGUGGCGAAGGCGACUUUCUGGUCUGUAACUGACGCUGAUGUGCGAAAGCGUGGGGAUCAAACAGGAUUAGAUACCCUGGUAGUCC
Molecule: ribosomal RNA, 696 nt
Filed under: Staphylococcus sp. 77Hg7
Lineage: Bacteria; Bacillati; Bacillota; Bacilli; Caryophanales; Staphylococcaceae
Description: bacterial SSU rRNA
Rfam family: Bacterial small subunit ribosomal RNA
Source: RNAcentral